UAGCUAAUACCGGAUAACAACACUAGACGCAUGUCUAGAGUUUAAAAGAAUGGUUCUGCUAUCACUCUUGGAUGGACCUGCGGUGCAUUAGCUAGUUGGUAAGGCAACGGCUUACCAAGGCAAUGAUGCAUAGCCGAGUUGAGAGACUGAUCGGCCACAUUGGGACUGAGACACGGCCCAAACUCCUACGGGAGGCAGCAGCC
This 203-nucleotide ribosomal RNA is filed under the name uncultured bacterium. RNAcentral's name for it is "partial 16S ribosomal RNA". It matches the Rfam family "Bacterial small subunit ribosomal RNA", at positions 160 to 355 of the family's 1533-position model. The record is from RNAcentral.